GUUCCUGUUUGAGAUUACUUUACCAAAAUCAACCCACUUACAAGCCCUUGUCCCAAAUCUGUUUCAUGGGGAAGGACUGAAAUUUUCAAAAACAACCAAGAAGGAAAGCAACUGCUACUGGAAGAGGAGAGGCAAAGACAGCACCUGGUCCUACUGCUUUCCAACAAUGAUGCAUUUGCACCAUCGCCUUGCGUAUUUUAAAACUUUCAACCUGAAGUGGAUUAUGGGAGAUGACUGGGGAGCAGCCAGACUCGGAGCUGUGGAAAGAGCUUUCCUGUGAUCCUUUACCUUCUGACAACACAAGUUAUAACUCAUGAAGAAAGGCACUUAACACUCCAUGUACCACCACCUUUUGGCCUCAGCUGGACAGCUGAAGUAAAAUCAUUGUCUGCUACCACUGUGAAUGUUCCAACAACAUGAAAGAAAUAAAUCAUUUAAUUGAACAUGGCUUUUACGCUUUAUCUUUUACUAAUAAUGAUUUUUAAAAAAAU
RNAcentral lists this long non-coding RNA (491 nucleotides) under Capra hircus (goat). RNAcentral's name for it is "lncRNA (ENSCHIG00000007108.1)". The record is from RNAcentral. Lineage: Eukaryota; Metazoa; Chordata; Mammalia; Artiodactyla; Bovidae.